GUUGGCUCCAUCUCCUUGGGCUGAGUCAUCAUCACAGACUGCCUGAACCUGCUCCUCUCCUGGAGGCCGAUCCAUGGCUAAUCUCUAAACUCAAAGGGUGUUCUCCCACGGCACUCCAGAGUGCACUCCCGGACUCUGCACAAGCUGUUCCCACGGCAAGGGAAACCGGGCCUCAAACCCUGCCCUCCUCCUCCAAGCUGGCUCUCCCACCGGCAGGUCUUCUCCCUGGAGUCUGGUGAGGUUCCCCCCUGGGAUCCUCUGAGAACCUUUACAGAGCUUUUCACAGCACCUGCCACCCUAACUGCCGUGUGCACUGGGGCUAUAGGAGUCUGCUGAAGUAGUGAUCCUUCCACAGGAAGUGCCAGUUUGGCAUUAUCACUGACUGCAGAGAAAGCCAAGCAGUUGUUAGAGUGCAAUGAACUGAAUGCUGCACCUCCCUCAAAGUCAAGUGUGAACUCCUAACCCUCGAUGUAAUGGUACUGGGCGAUGGGGCUUUGGGAGUCGCCAGGGUGGGGCCCUCAUAAAUAGCAUUAGUGCCCUGAUAAGAGCCAGAGAGUGUGCCAGGCCUCUUUCUACCAUGACAGGACGCAACAAGUUGGCAGUCUUUCCAGGAACCAGGAAGACGAUCUUUACCAGAGCCCCACCAC
Non-coding RNA from Heterocephalus glaber (naked mole-rat), 647 nucleotides. NCBI's taxonomy places the organism in Eukaryota, Metazoa, Chordata, Mammalia, Rodentia, Bathyergidae. The record is from RefSeq and is a predicted model, not a curated record.